This is a long non-coding RNA of Rhagoletis zephyria (snowberry fruit fly), 324 nucleotides long. RefSeq lists it as uncharacterized. NCBI's taxonomy places the organism in Eukaryota, Metazoa, Arthropoda, Insecta, Diptera, Tephritidae. The record is from RefSeq and is a predicted model, not a curated record.
AGAGGGUGGUGGUGGUUAUCGCCCAACUUGGAGACCUACUUGGAGACCUACUUGGAGGCCUACGCGUCCAACUUGGAGGCCAACUAGGCCGUGGUAGGAGACCAAGCUUCUAAGUGUGCUUCACGCAAUCUCAACUGCCAAUCAAGACCGCGUACUUACUGGUUUAUAACCAGGCAAAACUGUUGCGAGAAGCUUAAAAUUGGAGGACCUGCCGCCGAAUGCAAAGAUUAAUGAGACACAAUGAUUGACAGAAUGUUAACUGAUUUAAAAUAUGCAAAUGUUUUAAUUUUCCAAGAACUAAUUUUCGAACUCAAAAAUUUCAAU